CCUAGGCAAGAGAUGCACCUGUCAGAGGAGCCCUGCAGGGAGAGUGAAAAAGGAUAAAACCUGAUGGAGAGGCAUUGUGCUACAGACCAAGGACUCUCCACUCUGGCUGAGCAUCAGAACCGCCUGCAGAGCUUAGUCAAAUAUUGAGCCUUCAGCCCACCCACAAUGAUGAGAUUCAGUGGAAGCCAUUGAAGGAACCUAAGAAGAAAAGGAAAACUAAAAAUUGACGUAAAUCAGAAGUUCACAACUCGGAUUAUGAAAGGAGUUAAUAACAUAAGUAAAGAUCAAUAAAUUCUUUUAUUAUA
This 305-nucleotide long non-coding RNA is filed under the name Homo sapiens (human). Its description in RNAcentral is "HSALNT0220453". Lineage: Eukaryota; Metazoa; Chordata; Mammalia; Primates; Hominidae. The record is from RNAcentral.